GACGAACGCUGGCGGCGUGCUUAACACAUGCAAGUCGAACGGGCGUAGCGAUACGUCAGUGGCGGACGGGUGAGUAACACGUGAACAAUCUGCCUCAGACUGGGGGAUAACACUGAGAAAUCAGUGCUAAUACCGCAUAAGACCACGAUUUCGCAUGGGAAAGUGGUAAAAGGGAAUACCGGUAUGAGAUGAGUUCGCGUCCCAUUAGGUAGUUGGCGGGGUAACGGCCCACCAAGCCAGCGAUGGGUAGCCGACCUGAGAGGGUGAUCGGCCACACUGGAACUGAGACACGGUCCAGACUCCUACGGGAGGCAACAGUGGGGAAUAUUGGGCAAUGGAGGAAACUCUGACCCAGCAACGCCGCGUGAGUGAAGAAGGUCUUCGGAUUGUAAACCUCUGUUCUUGGGGAAGAGGAGGAGACGGUACCCAAGGAGGAGCCCGGCUAACUACGUGCCAGCAGCCGCGGUAAG
Molecule: ribosomal RNA, 470 nt
Filed under: uncultured bacterium
Lineage: Bacteria
Description: bacterial SSU rRNA
Rfam family: Bacterial small subunit ribosomal RNA
Source: RNAcentral